AGAGUUUGAUCCUGGCUCGGGGAGGAUGAACGCUGGCGGCGUGCUUAACACAUGCAAGUCGAACGAAGCACUCUUGGGUUAGAUUCCUUCGAAGGGAAGAAGAAAUUGUGACUGAGUGGCGGACGGAUGAGUAACGCGUGGGCAACCUGCCCCAUACAGGGUUGGAUAACAGCCGGAAACGGCUGCUAAAACCGCAUGGGGAAGCGCACAAGUUGGCCGCAUGGCCUGGUGUGAAAACUCCGGUGGUAUGGGUGGGCCCGCGUCUGAUUAGCUAGUUGGCGAGAGGCCCACCAAGGCGACGAUCAGUAGCCAAGCGACCUGAGAAGGUUAAGGUGGCCGGCCACAUUGGGACUGAGACACGGCCCAAACUCCUACGGGAGGCAGCACAGGUGGGGAAUAUUGCACAAUGGUUGGGAAACCCUGAUGCAGCGACGCCGCGUGAGCGAAGAAGUAUUUCGGUAUCAAGGUAAAGCUCUAUCAGGUUGCAGGGAAGAAAAAUGACGGUACCUGAGUAAGAAGCACCGGCUAAAUACGUGCCAAGCAGCAGCCGCGGUAAUACGGGGGUAUGGUGCAAGCGUUAUCCGGAUUUACUGGGUGUAAAGGGAGCGCAGGCAAGCGGUGCGGCAAGUCUGAUGUGAAGGGGAGCCCUUGGGGCUCAACCCUUCGGGACUGCAUUGGAACUACCGAACUAGAGUGUCGGAGAGGUAAGUGGAAUUCGGGGCUAGUGUAGCGGUGAAAUGCGUAGAUAUUAGGAGGAACACCAAGCAGUGGCGAAGGCGGCUUACUGGACGAUAACGGGGUGACGCUGAGGCUCGAAAGCGUGGGGAGCAAACAGGCAAGAUUAGAUACCCUGGUAGUCCACGCCGUAAACGAUGAAUACUAGGUGUCGGGGGGCAUUGCCCUUCGGUGCCCAAGGCAGCAAACGCAGUAAGUAUUCCACCUGGGGAGUACGUUCGCAAGAAUGAACUCAAAGGAAUUGACGGGGCAAGACCCGCACAGGGGAGCGUGUGGAGCAUGUGGUUUAAUUCGAAGCAACGCGAAAGCUAGAACCUUACCAAGCCUUGACAUCCUGAUGGGGGACAGAACAUGUAAUGUGUUGGGGUUUUCGGACAUCAGAGACAGGUGGUGCAUGCAAGGUUGUCGUCAGCUCGUGUCGUGAGAUGUUGGGUUAAGUCCCGCAACGAGCGCAACCCUUAUC
RNAcentral lists this ribosomal RNA (1198 nucleotides) under uncultured bacterium. RNAcentral describes it as "bacterial SSU rRNA". It matches the Rfam family "Bacterial small subunit ribosomal RNA", at positions 8 to 1109 of the family's 1533-position model. The record is from RNAcentral.